This 374-nucleotide ribosomal RNA is filed under the name uncultured organism. RNAcentral's name for it is "partial 16S ribosomal RNA". It matches the Rfam family "Bacterial small subunit ribosomal RNA", at positions 527 to 896 of the family's 1533-position model. The record is from RNAcentral.
GUAGGUGGCAAGCGUUGUCCGGAAUUAUUGGGCGUAAAGCGCGCGCAGGCGGUCCUUUAAGUCUGAUGUGAAAGCCCACGGCUCAACCGUGGAGGGUCAUUGGAAACUGGGGGACUUGAGUACAGAAGAGGAAAGCGGAAUUCCAAGUGUAGCGGUGAAAUGCGUAGAGAUUUGGAGGAACACCAGUGGCGAAGGCGGCUUUCUGGUCUGUAACUGACGCUGAGGCGCGAAAGCGUGGGGAGCAAACAGGACUAGAUACCCUGGUAGUCCACGCCGUAAACGAUGAGUGCUAAGUGUUAGGGGGUUUCCCGCCCCCCUUAGUGCUGCAGCUAACGCAUUAAGCACUCCGCCUGGGGAGUACGGCCGCAAGGCUG